ACACGAUGCAUUUCUCGUUCUAACGCUUGCCAAAGACACGAAGAAAGCGGAAAUUUUGCACGAUAUUAUAUUCUAAAUAUUUAUACAGUAGUACACAAAUGAAACAAACACAUUCGAAGUUAGAAAAAAAAAAAGAUGUAAUGGAAAAUACUUACUAUAAGAAAUAUAAAAGAAAAAACUAUCUUUGAUAAUUAUCUAGUACCAAAAAUUUACUACUCUGCAUCCAUGGUAUUAAUCCAUCAACAAAAAGUCCAAUAUCUUGACAAUCAAUUGGGUUUGAAGGUUCAGCCAAAAAGGAGAGAAGAUCUACUCCUAGUUGUUGUCGAAAUUUUGUAUCAGGCUUGGACAAAUGGACAAAGAACCCAUCCAAGUCCUUUGGACGAGUAUAUGCCAUGUUUGGCUAAUCUGAAACAAAAUAAACAUUCAAUAUUGACCUAGGGUAACAUAUUGUGCGAAUAAAAAAUCUAGUCUAUAUCUGGAUGUAAAACAAACAACUUAUAUCUCAGAUUAAAUACGAAAUAUUAAGAAAUGUUGAAUAAGUUCACACCAUUAUAACAAAUAUUAAUCUCAUUAAUUAACCAUUAAAAGUAUUUUAGAUUCUCGUAAUGGAAACAUUAAAAGCUGAAAUUUCUAAUACCCUACAGUAAAAUUUAUAAAUAAGAUAAAACAUAUUGAUAAAUCUAGGUGAGUAGUUCAAAUGUAACAAGCCAAUAUUAAAGAAUCAAACUACCAUCAAAGUGGCAUAACUUCAUGAGAAAUGGUAAUUAAUGAAAUAUAUAUGAAUAUUAAUCUCGAAAUUUAUUUAAAACAUACAGUAAAAUAUAAAUUA
Molecule: long non-coding RNA, 829 nt
Organism: Diorhabda carinulata
Lineage: Eukaryota; Metazoa; Arthropoda; Insecta; Coleoptera; Chrysomelidae
Exons: 2
Source: RefSeq, a predicted model, not a curated record